AGAGUUUGAUCCUGGCUCAGGAUGAACGCUAGCGGCAGGCCUAAUACAUGCAAGUCGAACGGUAAAUAUUUAGCAAUAAAUAUGAGAGUGACGUACGGGUGCGUAACACGUAUGCAACCUACCCUUUACAGGCGGAUAGCUCGGGGAAACUCGAAUUAACCCGCCGUAAUAUAAUUGGAUGGCAUCAUCUGGUUAUUAAAUCUACGGAGGUAAAGGAUGGGCAUGCGUCUGAUUAGUUAGUUGGCGGGGUAACGGCCCACCAAGACGAUGAUCAGUAGGGGAACUGAGAGGUUGAUCCCCCACACUGGCACUGAGAUACGGGCCAGACUCCUACGGGAGGCAGCAGUAGGGAAUAUUGGUCAAUGGAUGGAAGUCUGAACCAGCCAUGCCGCGUGCAGGAAGAAGGCCUUCUGGGUUGUAAACUGCUUUUGCCAGGGGAUAAAAUGACCUUGCGAGGUUAAUUGAAGGUACCUGGUGAAUAAGCCACGGCUAACUACGUGCCAGCAGCCGCGGUAAUACGUAGGUGGCAAGCGUUGUCCGGAUUUAUUGGGUUUAAAGGGUGCGUAGGCGGCUUAUUAAGUCAGUGGUGAAAUACUCUAGCUCAACUAGAGGGGUGCCAUUGAUACUGAUGAGCUUGAGUACAGAUGAGGUAGGCGGAAUUGACGGUGUAGCGGUGAAAUGCUUAGAUAUCGUCAAGAACACCUAUAGCGAAGGCAGCUUACUAGGCUGUAACUGACGCUGAGGCACGAAAGUGUGGGGAUCAAACAGGAUUAGAUACCCUGGUAGUCCACACUGUAAAACGUUGAUUACACGCUGUGUGCGAUAUACAGUACGCGGCCAAGCGAAAGCGAUAAGUAAUCCACCUGGGGAGUACGCCGGCAACGGUGAAACUCAAAGGAAUUGACGGGGGUCCGCACAAGCGGUGGAGCAUGUGGUUUAAUUCGAUGGUACGCGAGGAACCUUACCUGGACUAGAAUGCCCUUGACCGAUCCAGAGAUGGAUUUUUCCGCAAGGACAAGGAGCAAGGUGCUGCAUGGCCGUCGUCAGCUCGUGCCGUGAGGUGUUGGGUUAAGUCCCGCAACGAGCGCAACCCCUAUUUUUAGUUGCCAACAGGUUAAGCUGGGGACUCUAAAAAGACUGCCCGCGCAAGCGGAGAGGAAGGAGGGGACGACGUCAGGUCAUCAUGGCCCUUACGUCCAGGGCUACACACGUGCUACAAUGGCGUAUACAGAGUGUUGCAAACCAGCGAUGGUAAGCCAAUCACAAAAAGUACGUCUCAGUUCGGAUUGCAGGCUGCAACUCGCCUGCAUGAAGUUGGAAUCGCUAGUAAUCGCGCAUCAGCAAUGGCGCGGUGA
RNAcentral lists this ribosomal RNA (1355 nucleotides) under metagenome. RNAcentral describes it as "bacterial SSU rRNA". It matches the Rfam family "Bacterial small subunit ribosomal RNA", at positions 8 to 1365 of the family's 1533-position model. The record is from RNAcentral.